Jatropha curcas is the source of this 632-nucleotide non-coding RNA. Lineage: Eukaryota; Viridiplantae; Streptophyta; Magnoliopsida; Malpighiales; Euphorbiaceae. The record is from RefSeq and is a predicted model, not a curated record.
AAGAAAUAUAUUAUAUAAUAAAUAAAAUAAGUAAAGAAGAGGCAUUUGUUCUUCGCGUCACGUUUCUUAAUCACUCUGCGAUUCAUUCCUCUACUCUCCCUUUGCUGCGCCAAAAAGACAGAACACAAUAACAGAGAAAAAGAAUGGGCGCGUUGGUAGCCGGAGUCAUUCAAGAUGAGUCAGUUCUAAUAGACAACUCGGCCGGCUUCUCAUUACCGCCGGCAGCUCUCUCUCUCCUUCGUAGGCUCCGCCAUUUCAAACUCCACUUUGGAAUUUCUUAUUCACCGGCUCUAACUGAUGAUAAGGUGAGCCUGCUUGAAAAAAGGCAAUGCAGUACUCCUUUGAUUGCUUUGCUUUGGAUGCUACAUCCGCUGAUGGUGGCUUGAAGGAUAUAACCUUGGCUUGGGGAGGUAUAGGAGGGACUAUUUUGUAUGUUGCUUCUAAUAGCAAGAAGGAUGGUUUUAAUCAAUUAAGCAAUUUGGGCUGGAUCACUGUUGUCAUCGGUGAGUAACUUUGUAUAUAUGUAUGCUUUUGUAACUUUUAUGAUGCUAUUUAUAUGCUUAAUAGCUCAGUUUGGUUUCUUAUUUGGCUGCUUCAUAUAAAAAAAGGCAAUUGAUGAGCCUUCUUAAUAA